AGAGUUUGAUCAUGGCUCAGGACGAACGCUGGCGGCGUGCCUAACACAUGCAAGUCGAACGAAGCUCCUGCGAAGAUUCUUCGGAUGAAACAAGGGAAGACUUAGUGGCGGACGGGUGAGUAACGCGUGAGCAACCUGCCUUUCAGAGGGGGAUAACAGUUGGAAACGACUGCUAAUACCGCAUAACGUAUAGAUGUCGCAUGGCAUUUGUACCAAAGCUGAGGCGCUGAAAGAUGGGCUCGCGUCCGAUUAGAUAGUUGGUGGGGUAACGGCCUACCAAGUCGACGAUCGGUAGCCGGACUGAGAGGUUGAACGGCCACAUUGGGACUGAGACACGGCCCAGACUCCUACGGGAGGCAGCAGUGGGGGAUAUUGCACAAUGGGCGAAAGCCUGAUGCAGCAACGCCGCGUGAGGGAAGACGGUUUUCGGAUUGUAAACCUCUGUCUUUGGUGAAGAAGGAAGUGACGGUAGCCAAGGAGGAAGCCACGGCUAACUACGUGCCAGCAGCCGCGGUAAUACGUAGGUGGCAAGCGUUGUCCGGAAUUACUGGGUGUAAAGGGAGCGCAGGCGGGAUGGCAAGUUGGAUGUGAAAUACCGCAGCUCAACUGCGGAGCUGCAUCCAAAACUGUCGUUCUUGAGUGGAGUAGAGGCAGGCGGAAUUCCGAGUGUAGCGGUGAAAUGCGUAGAUAUUCGGAGGAACACCAGUGGCGAAGGCGGCCUGCUGGGCUCUUACUGACGCUGAGGCUCGAAAGUGUGGGGGAGCAAACAGGAUUAGAUACCCUGGUAGUCCACACUGUAAACGAUGAUUGCUAGGUGUGGGUGGACUGACCCCAUCCGUGCCGGAGUUAACGCAAUAAGCAAUCCACCUGGGGAGUACGGCCGCAAGGUUGAAACUCAAAGGAAUUGACGGGGGCCCGCACAAGCAGUGGAUUAUGUGGUUUAAUUCGAAGCAACGCGAAGAACCUUACCAGGUCUUGACAUCCGACUAACGAGAUAGAGAUAUGUCAGGUGCCCUUCGGGGAAAGUCGAGACAGGUGGUGCAUGGUUGUCGUCAGCUCGUGUCGUGAGAUGUUGGGUUAAGUCCCAUAACGAGCGCAACCCUUGCUGUCAGUUACCAGCACGCAAUGGUGGGGACUCUGACAGGACUGCCACCGCAAGGUGAGAGGAAGGCGGGGAUGACGUCAAAUCAGCACGGCCCUUACGUCCGGGGCGACACACGUGUUACAAUGGUGACUACAGAGGGAUGCCACCCAGCGAUGGGGAGCGGAUCUCGAAAAGUCAUCUCAGUUCGGAUUGGAGUCUGCAACUCGACUCCAUGAAGCUGGAUUCGCUAGUAAUCGCGCAUCAGCCAUGGCGCGGUGAAUACGUUCCCGGGCCUUGUACACACCGCCCGUCAAGCCAUGAAAGCUGGGGGUGCCUGAAGUUCGUGACCGCAAGGAGCGACCUAGGGCAAAACUGGUAAUUGGGGCUAAGUCGUAACAAGGUAACC
RNAcentral lists this ribosomal RNA (1490 nucleotides) under uncultured bacterium. RNAcentral's name for it is "bacterial SSU rRNA". It matches the Rfam family "Bacterial small subunit ribosomal RNA". The record is from RNAcentral.